Molecule: ribosomal RNA, 400 nt
Filed under: Pseudopedinella sp.
Lineage: Eukaryota; Dictyochophyceae; Pedinellales
Description: partial small subunit ribosomal RNA
Rfam family: Eukaryotic small subunit ribosomal RNA
Source: RNAcentral
AUUCCAGCUCCAAUAGCGUAUAUUAAUGUUGUUGCAGUUAAAAAGCUCGUAGUUGGAUUUCUGGAUUGAGCGGCUGGCCUUGCGCGCAAGCGUUCGUGUCGGCUUCGUUUCGGUCCAUCCUCAGGGGGACUUGCGCUGGCAUUAACGUGUCGGUGUUGGGACACCUGUCGUUUACUGUGAACAAAUUAGAGUGUUCAAAGCAAGGUGUACUUGAAUACAUUAGCAUGGAAUAAUAAGAUAGGACUUUGGUGGUUCUUUUUGAUAUUUUGUUGGUUUGCACGCCAAAGUAAUGAUUAAUAGGAGCAGUUGGGGGUAUUCGUAUUCAAUUGUCAGAGGUGAAAUUCUUGGAUUUAUAGAAGACGAACUACUGCGAAAGCAUUUACCAAGGAUGUUUUCAUCA